CACUGGUCUAGUAUAUUGGUCAAUGUUAAUUUGUCAUAUGAUUGAAAGUUGUAUGCCGUUUGUCGCUACUUGCAUAUUGUUUAUCAUAUUGUAUAUUUAAACUGCCUUCUGCGCAGCCACCGCCUACACCCUCCCUGGGGUUCGGGCCCUGGCUGCGCGAAAUUAGGGGAUAAAAACCCACAUUUCAAACCUUAUUACGAGUUAGCAUAAGAAAACACAAGC
Non-coding RNA from Pelobates cultripes (western spadefoot toad), 222 nucleotides. NCBI's taxonomy places the organism in Eukaryota, Metazoa, Chordata, Amphibia, Anura, Pelobatidae. The record is from the annotation of a GenBank genome assembly.